UGCGUCCUAGAAACGCAGCCGGCAGGCGGUCGGCCUGCGCCGCGGGAAACACACCCCCUUAACGCCAUAGUUCCGGGAGCUUCCUUCAGAACGGGAGCGAAUGGGUCACCGCCCCCAAGUGUCUAGGCACAGAGCCCCCAACCCCUUGUUACAGAAGGCCCCGUGCUGCUAGCCUCUUUGCAGGCAGGGGCCUCUGUGUGAGAAUGUUGGAUUCCACUUCACUGCUUAGAGAAGAUACUCCAGACUAGUCAUGCCAUUGUGAGAAGUACACCAGUAGAUUACUUUCUGAACUCCGAAAGCUACCUUUCCAGUGUGGCUGUCUUGAACUUUUCCAAGUUCAGUUGCUGCUGAAGCUCUUCUGUUCUCCCCAGGGAGGGACAAAGAACUCGACUUCUGGUCAGAGCUGCCGCAGAAGGUCUCGCCACUGGAUCAGGGUCGAUCAUGUCCUGAUGAGAGAGGAACCAGUCAGCUUCAUUUUCAGCCUCUUCCGGGACAACAGGAGAGUCACUCGGUAUCUUAUGACAGAUGAAGAUGUUACCUGGGAAGAGAAUUGUUGCAAGUAACGAUUCCUAAAUUUUUUUGCUGCAGAGAUUCUUUUCUGACUCUGGGGUGAAGGGAUUAAUAUUGACCAGAGCCAGAGAGGUCAUCUCAUCGGUGAGGGGACCAGGCGUGAGUCUCAGGUGCUUAGAUCCUCGGGAAGGGAGCUUCCCUGUUGAAAUCACUGACUGGCUCGAAUGGCCCUGGAUGAGGAGAACAAAAGAUUUCUGCAACAGGAAAGUCAGGUGCCCGGGAGGAAGAUGCCCAAGGAAGAAAGUCGGCUUUGCAUCUCAGGCCUGAGUUCCCCACGCUGUGUGCUUAGGGAAGUUCUCCUUCUGCAGACACUGCCGAGGAUGAGAAUGCUUCCAGAAUCAGAGCUCCAUGGUGACCAAAGCGCAGUUCUGAGGCCUUGAAACACAGAUGGGAAGGACAGGAGCAGGAAAAUCCAGCUAAUUCAAAUUGAGUUUGCAAGAGGUAGAAACCUGUAUUUACCUCCGAGGUAGACUGUUCCUUCGCAGAAGUAAAAGUUAAGGCUGUGGAAAAUGAGCUAUUUGUUUGAGAAUCUGUUGUUCCUAGGAGGGACCUGCUAGUCUUGUCUCCUCAGUCAGGAGGGAAAAAAAACAUUAAAAAUGCUUGAACAAACCAAAGUGAAGUUCUACAUAGUAUUUUUUGAAGACUGAAUUACGAUCGAGUCAUUCUAGACUGAAAAAAAUACCAGUGUUGGAUUAUGGUAUAUUUGAUGGGACCACCCUAUUGGGAACCCUCAGGAGGUCCGGUUUCCCAUAAGAAAUGGACUUUUUUACUGCCAGGCUUUCUGGGAAGCUGGCAGAUUCCAGGAAGGGAAGUGGAGGCUUGAAGCUGGCAGAGGCCGAAGGCAACUCUCUGGGCCUCAGGCUGUUGGGCCUGGGCUCUGAAGACUGGAGAGAACGCGAGGGAACGUGAGGGUGAUGGAGAAGGGAAGUUGACACGUGCCCAGGAUGUGCGUGUAGAGCGUGCAGGCACCAGGACAUCAGUCAGGGUCCUCGGACAAGGGCCCAUGGGCCUCGUCAACAUACGAAGGAACAUCUCCAGCUCACUGGGGAUCAGGCAGUGCUACCUCUAAGGUCCCUCCCGCUUCCUGGCCCUUACCUUGCCCACUCUCGCAUCACAACCGGAAGCGUUGCGUCAACCCCGAAGGGGAAGGUUUGCAACAUCUUAGAGAAAAGCAGAAGAUGUUCACUGCUGACGUGUAUGGGUCAGCUUCCCGGACAGGUCCUUCAGCAGCCUGGACUGUGAGCAGGUGCAGAUGGGUGUGGCCGCCCUGGGCGUGGACCCGUCCCAGCAGGGGUCUCAGGUGCUCCUGACUCCCAGCAACUUUCUUUCCAUGAGGACAGCUGUCAGCACAGUGUGGUGCCAGGAGAGAGAGGGACCUUCUCUUGGUCUCGUCCCACCACCAAGAGAGAGCACACAGAAGCCGCACCUGUCAGUGGUGAAUCUAGUGAUAAUCACGUCAGUCAUUUACAAGAAUCCCGAACAGCACUUUAUAUUUGGCUACCCCUUUUUUCAUUUCAGCGUGCUUUCACACCUGUAAGUGAGUAGCAGUCCCAGCGGAAGAUUCCAAGGAAAGAUCGUGGACCAGGUAAAAUAAAGCUGGAGGUCAUUUGAAA
This is a non-coding RNA of Sus scrofa (pig), 2183 nucleotides long. Lineage: Eukaryota; Metazoa; Chordata; Mammalia; Artiodactyla; Suidae. The record is from RefSeq and is a predicted model, not a curated record.